RNA transcript from Agrilus planipennis (emerald ash borer), 3904 nucleotides. It is a transcript of the gene named zinc finger MYM-type protein 5-like, with no coding region annotated. The transcript is spliced from 6 exons. Lineage: Eukaryota; Metazoa; Arthropoda; Insecta; Coleoptera; Buprestidae. The record is from RefSeq and is a predicted model, not a curated record.
UUUAUUUAUUAAAGGCAUAUUGCAAUUCAAAGUAAUAAAUAAGGGUUGUGGUACCAUUUUUAUUUAUUGUUAGUUCAACAAAAAUUAAUGAUUUUAGCGAAUAUCACAUAAAGAAUAAUAUUUACCUCCUAAAAAUAUGAAAAGUGUAAAAGUAAUGAAUAAAUUAUGUCUUUGUAAUUAUAAACAUCCAGUUUAACAGUGAAAAGUGAAUUGUUACAAGAUAUGGAUGGAAUAAGGCAUUUUUUUUCAAAAGAACGUAAUAUAAAAAAUGAGUCCACAAAAGAAGAUAGUGUUAUAAAAACGGACAUAGAAGAUAGUAUAUUUGAACAGGAAAUUGGGCUUAAUAACGAGACUUGGCGUGAUGGGGAAGAUAAUGUAGAAAAUGAACUAUUAAAUUUAAGUGAUUUAAAAAAAGAAACCACUAUUAACCAAGGAGCAAAGGUUAUUUUUAAAGAUAAUGUUGAACUAUCUGAUGAGGCAUGGUGCUUUCCUGGUAAAGAAGAUGAUAAACAAAACGAGCUUUUACAUUUAACUGAUAUAGAAGAAGUCAUGGUAAAAAAAGAGGUAGACGAUAAUAUUUUUGAAGUUCCAAAUUUGAAUACAGAAACCAAGACAAAGUUUAAAUGUGAUAUUUGUCAUAUAACUGUUACUCACAAAUCAUACUUGGAAAACUAUUCAAGAACAUGCACAGAAGAAAAACAACUCAAAUGUGAAACCUGUGAACAGAGAUUUUCUCAAAAUACUCAAAGUUCACAGGAGAUAGGUGAUAUUGUUAUUGAAACUCAUAAUGAGCAAAAUCCAUUAAAUCAAAGGCACACUGUAUCAGUCAGAGUGGACAAUAAGGAUGUUCUAAAAAAGGCGCGCCAACAAAGAUAUCGUGAAAGGCACCGUGAAGAAAAGCGUAAAGGAGAACAACACAUCUCAACAGAACAUAUUACUGAAGUAACACCAGAUGAUCAGUUAAGUGGAAAUUGUUCAAAACUUGAACAACAGCAAAUUCUGAACUCUCGUAAAAUUAAUUCCGUUGCUAUUUUAGUGGAUAAUGGGUUUUCUCGGUUAACAUAUAACGAGAAAAUUGCAGUAAAAAAUCUUAAACGACCAAUGCCUAUGUUAAAUUUGGAAAAUAAACAAUCUGUUAAAGGUAAAGGCAUUGUAAGAAAAUUCAAACUUGAUAUUUAUCAGAAAAAUGACUGGAUUUGUGGAUGCGACGUUAAAAAUGCUUUAUUUUGCUUUCCGUGUCUUCUUUUUGGUGGUGAACCAUCUUGGUCGAAAAACGGUAUAAGAGAUUUAGUGCAUCUUAGUGCUAAAAUCAGCAAACAUGAAAAUUCCGAAGGGCAUUUGAAUAAUGCUUUUGAUCUAAGAAUGUUAGGAAAAAACAUUCAAAAUGUUUUGGAUUCAUCGUAUAGAAGAGCAGUUCAAAACCAUAAUGAAGAGGUAACAAAAAAUAGGCAUGUUUUAAAUUUAAUAAUAAAUUGCAUCAGAUUUUGCGGCGCGUUUGAACUAGCGCUACGGAGUCCUAACGAACGGCAAACAUCGAACAGCAAGGGAAUUUUUAGAGAAUUAAUAAAUUUUACAGGAGAAUUGGAUAAAUCACUCAGGGAUCACAUCGAAGCAGCACCGGUUUUUAAGGGAUUGUCAAAAACAAUACAGAAUGAGCUGCUUGACGCAAUGUUGAACGUGUAUCAUGAACAAGUUGUCAAUGAAAUUAGAACAACCGACUAUGUAGCUGUGAUUAUCAGUGUAAUAGCUGAUGAAACCACGGAUGUUUCCAAUCAGUUUCAGUUGGUGUUUGUUUUAAGAUACAUAGUGAAUGGGAGACCAGUCGAAAGAUUUUGGAAAUUUCUUCAGCCUAGUGGACAUGAUGCUACUUCAUUAUCUGCCUGUAUCCUUAACGAAAUGAAUUUACUUAUUAAUGAUCCAAAAAAACUUAUUGCGCAGAGCUAUGAUGGAACAGCAGUCAUGAGUGGUGCAAUUAACGGCGUACAAGGACACGUCCAAGACCAGUAUCCAAUGGCUAAUUUUGUACAUUGUUAUUCACAUCAGACGAAUUUAAUUAUGUCACAAGCUACAUCAAGCAAUAGUAACUGCAAAAUUUUUUUUGCCAAUCUGACAGGAUUAUGUACUUUUUUUUCUACUUCGCCGCAACGAGCAGCAAGAUUGGAAGAAUUUCUUCACAAAAAAGGCUUAUCUCGUACUUCAAAAAUAAAAUGGAAUUUCAAUUCUAAGAUGGUAAAUACUGUGUAUAUCCACCGAGAAGAGUUAAUUGAAGCUCUAGAAGAAAUUGAAAGAGAGGCAAAUUUACAAACUACCAUUCAGCAGGCGGGUGCUCAUUUGCGAAUUUUAGAAGAUGAGAAUUUUAUCUAUUGGUUAACAUUCUUUCAUAAAAUUAUGCCACAUGUGGACAUAUUGUUUAAUAAAUUGCAAAAAGCCACUACAAAUGCAUUAAAAAUCAAGAAUAAUUUAGAUGAUUUUGAACGUGCCAUUAAAAAAAUUCGAACCGAAAUCGCUGACACAGAUAAUCAGUUCGUUGAACAAAAUGACUCAGAACUAAACCCUCGGCCAUCAAAGCGGCGAAGAGUGAACGGAAGUGAAAGAAGGAGAGAAGCUAUUGAAGUGUGUGAUAUUAUUUUAUUAGAAAUAAAAACUAGAUUUCAGUUUACAGGGCACUUAAUAUUAUCAAACUUAGUUUCUUUUAAACAGUUCUCCUCAUUUGAAAAAAGGUUCCCGGAAGAUUGCCUCAAAGAAGCAGUAAAAUUUUAUCCAUGUCUCAAUGAAAGCAGGCUACGAAUUGAAUUAAGCGUUCUAUAUUCUAGAGAAGAAUUUAGACAAAAUUCAGAAACCAGUGCUGUAGGUCUACUGGGUCUUCUACUGGAUGGUUUAAGCAACACUUUCUAUGAAGUCAUAAAGCUUUUAAAAAUUAUCAUUACAAUCCCAAUGACAACGUCCGAAACGGAACGCCAAUUUUCUCAGCUGAAAAGAAUAAAAACUUUCCUCAGAAAUACAAUGAAAGAAGACAGAUUAAAUGCUCUCACUAUGUUAUCAUGUGAAAAAGAAUUUAUAAAUGACUUCCAAAACUUUAAUGAAAAAGUGAUAGAACUGUUCUGUAAGUCAAACCCCGGGUUUAACUUUUCAGUAGCGGCUCUCUAAUAAAAGCAAGUGAAAGAUAAAAGUAAACCUAAGUAGCUCUUAUUACGUAUUUUUGGUUUACCAGUCGUUUAGGUCGGCCAAUGGGCACUCGGCGGCCGCCCCAACUCGGAUGAGCACAGACAGAUCAUUAAUCCGUUAAGCCUUUAACAUUACACCGAGGGUGGGUUUGUUUUGAGAAUAUAAUUUCGAAAACAAUUUUGAAAUUAUGCACUGUAAUUAGACUCUUUGUGAAAUAUCCCGAGCCGCCACUUUCAAUUUCAAAUGUAUAUUUAUUGGUAAAUGUUAUUAUUUAAAACCAAAAUUGUAACAUUAGAGUGGAUAAUAAGUGCAGUACAGAAAAAUGCAACGCAAGCAAUACAACAAAUUAAUGAAACAACACCAAAUGACCAGUUAUUGAACAUAAUAAGAGAAUGCGUUGUGGUUGACCAAUGUUUAAUGCUAGGUACUAGAAUGCAUUGCUAGUUACGUUUAAUUUUUAUCUCAUAUUAUUCAGUAAAUUUUAUUUUUUCAGAGGUGGUUUAAAGCAUCAAGUUUUAUCAAAAAUCCGACCUGCCCAGACACUUGGGUCCAUACAGGAAUGUAUGAGUGUCAUGUGUGUCAGAAGAGUAUUCAUUUGAGGAGAUAAUCUCUAAUAAAAAAAUUAUUUACGAAGGUUUUUGUAGAAUCUGUAAAAAGCAUACACUUGUACUUUAUAUGCAAAAUUUUAUACAGUAUGUACAUGUACCUACACAUGUAAAAAUAUAUUUUUAAGAACUGA